RNAcentral lists this ribosomal RNA (487 nucleotides) under uncultured bacterium. Its description in RNAcentral is "bacterial SSU rRNA". It matches the Rfam family "Bacterial small subunit ribosomal RNA", at positions 41 to 518 of the family's 1533-position model. The record is from RNAcentral.
UACAGGCUUAACACAUGCAAGUCGAGGGGCGAGCAUGGAGUUGCUUGCAAACUCUGAUGGCGACCGGCGCACGGGUGAGUAACGCGUAUCCAACCUUCCCUAUAGUAGAGGAUAGCCCGGCGAAAGUCGGAUUAAUACUCUAUGUUUCCGUUGCAGACAUCUAAGAUGGAACAAAGGCUUGCCGCUAUAGGAUGGGGAUGCGUCUGAUUAGGUAGUCGGCGGGGUAACGGCCCACCGAGCCAUCGAUCAGUAGGGGUUCUGAGAGGAAGGUCCCCCACAUUGGAACUGAGACACGGCCCAAACUCCUACGGGAGGCAGCAGUGAGGAAUAUUGGUCAAUGGACGAGAGUCUGAACCAGCCAAGUAGCGUGCAGGACGACGGCCCUAUGGGUUGUAAACUGCUUUUAUGCGGGGAUAAAGUUCACUACGUGUAGUGUUUUGUAGGUACCGCAUGAAUAAGGACCGGCUAAUUCCGUGCCAGCAGCAGC